GACGAACGCUGGCGGCGUGCCUAACACAUGUAAGUCGCACGGGAUUCGGGGGGCAACUCUCGAAUUCAGUGGCAGACGGGUGCGUAACACGUGAGAAACUUGUCCAACGGCGGGGGAUAGCCGGCCCAACGGCCGGGUAAUACCGCAUACGACCAUUUGGGGGCAUCCCUGAAUGAGGAAAGCAGCCGCAAGGUUGCGCCGAUGGAGAGUCUCGCGGCCUAUCAGCUAGNGGCGGGGUAACGGCCCACCAAGGCAACGACGGGUAGCUGGUCUGAGAGGAUGGCCAGCCACAUUGGGACUGAGACACGGCCCAGACUCCUACGGGAGGCAGCAGUGGGGAAUCUUGCGCAAUGGCCGCAAGGCUGACGCAGCGACGCCGCGUGUGGGAUGACGGCCU
This 397-nucleotide ribosomal RNA is filed under the name uncultured bacterium. RNAcentral describes it as "bacterial SSU rRNA". It matches the Rfam family "Bacterial small subunit ribosomal RNA", at positions 28 to 417 of the family's 1533-position model. The record is from RNAcentral.